Molecule: ribosomal RNA, 500 nt
Filed under: uncultured bacterium
Lineage: Bacteria
Description: partial 16S ribosomal RNA
Rfam family: Bacterial small subunit ribosomal RNA
Source: RNAcentral
GACGAACGCUGGCGGCGUGCUUAACACAUGCAAGUCGAACGGGUCUGCCCUGUUUUUUGCGGGGUGGGUCAGUGGCGAACGGGUGAGUAACACGUGAGUAACCUGCCCCUCACUUCUGGAUAACCGCUUGAAAGGGUGGCUAAUACGGGGUGUUCUGGCUGUGCCGCAUGGUGUGGCUGGGAAAGAUUCACUUUUGUGGUGUUUUGGUGGGGGAUGGGCUCGCGGCCUAUCAGCUUGUUGGUGGGGUGAUGGCCUGCCAAGGCUUUGACGGGUAGCCGGCCUGAGAGGGUGGGCGGUCACACUGGGACUGAGAUACGGCACAGACUCCUGCGGGAGGCAGCAGUGGGGGGUAUUGCACAAUGGGCGGAAGCCUGAUGCAGCGACGUCGCGUGAGGGAUGGAGGCCUUCGGGUUGUGAACCUUUUUCGCCGGUGAAGAAGGUCCUGCUCUUUGUGGUGGGGUUGACGGUAGCCGGGUUAUGAAGCGCCGGCUAACUACGUG